UACGAAGGUUGCUAGCGUUGUUCGGAAUCACUGGGCGUAAAGCGCACGUAGGCGGAUUGUUAAGUCGGGGGUGAAAUCCUGAGGCUCAACCUCAGAACUGCCUUCGAUACUGGCACUCUCGAGUCCGGAAGAGGUUGGUGGAACAGCUAGUGUAGAGGUGAAAUUCGUAGAUAUUAGCUAGAACACCAGUGGCGAAGGCGGCCAACUGGUCCGGUACUGACGCUGAGGUGCGAAAGCGUGGGGAGCGAACAGG
This 253-nucleotide ribosomal RNA is filed under the name uncultured bacterium. Its description in RNAcentral is "partial 16S ribosomal RNA". It matches the Rfam family "Bacterial small subunit ribosomal RNA", at positions 524 to 776 of the family's 1533-position model. The record is from RNAcentral.